AGCAGUAGCCACGGUAAUACGGAGGGUGCAAGCGUUAAUCGGAAUUACUGGGCGUAAAGCGCACGCAGGCGGUCUGACAAGUCAGAUGUGAAAUCCCCGGGCUUAACCUGGGAACUGCAUUUGAAACUGUCAGGCUGGAGUCUUGUAGAGGGGGGUGGAAUUCCAGGUGUAGCGGUGAAAUGCGUAGAGAUCUGGAGGAAUACCGGUGGCGAAGGCGGCCCCCUGGACAAAGACUGACGCUCAGGUGCGAAAGCGUGGGGAGCAAACAGGAUUAGAUACCCCCGGUAGUCCCUGUCUCUUAUA
RNAcentral lists this ribosomal RNA (303 nucleotides) under uncultured bacterium. Its description in RNAcentral is "partial 16S ribosomal RNA". It matches the Rfam family "Bacterial small subunit ribosomal RNA", at positions 507 to 808 of the family's 1533-position model. The record is from RNAcentral.